This 1183-nucleotide ribosomal RNA is filed under the name uncultured bacterium. Its description in RNAcentral is "bacterial SSU rRNA". It matches the Rfam family "Bacterial small subunit ribosomal RNA", at positions 158 to 1329 of the family's 1533-position model. The record is from RNAcentral.
UUACGCUAAUACCGCAUAUUCUGUGAGCAGGAAAGCAGGGGAUCGCAAGACCUUGCGCUGAUUGAGCGGCCGAUAUCAGAUUAGCUAGUUGGUGAGGUAAAGGCUCACCAAGGCGACGAUCUGUAGCGGGUCUGAGAGGAUGAUCCGCCACACUGGAACUGAGACACGGUCCAGACUCCUACGGGAGGCAGCAGUGGGGAAUUUUGGACAAUGGGGGCAACCCUGAUCCAGCCAUGCCGCGUGAGUGAAGAAGGCCUUCGGGUUGUAAAGCUCUUUCGGCCGGGAAGAAAUCGCAUGGGCUAAUACCCUGUGCGGAUGACGGUACCGGCAUAAGAAGCACCGGCUAACUACGUGCCAGCAGCCGCGGUAAUACGUAGGGUGCGAGCGUUAAUCGGAAUUACUGGGCGUAAAGCGUGCGCAGGCGGUUUUUUAAGACAGGCGUGAAAUCCCCGGGCUCAACCUGGGAACUGCGCUUGUGACUGGAAGGCUAGAGUAUGGCAGAGGGGGGUGGAAUUCCACGUGUAGCAGUGAAAUGCGUAGAGAUGUGGAGGAACACCAAUGGCGAAAGGCAGCCCCCUGGGCCAAUACUGACGCUCAUGCACGAAAAGCGUGGGUAGCAAAACAGGAUUAGAUACCCUGGUAGUCCACGCCCCUAAACGAUGUCAACUAGGUGUUGGGGUGGGUAAAACCAUUUAGUACNCGGAGCUAACGCGUGAAGUUGACCGCCUGGGGAGUACGGCCGCAAGGUUAAAACUCAAAGGAAUUGACGGGGACCCGCACAAGCGGUGGAUGAUGUGGAUUAAUUCGAUGCAACGCGAAAAACCUUACCUACCCUUGACAUGUCCAGGAGCCUGAAGAGAUUUGGGUGUGCCCGAAAGGGAACUGGAACACAGGUGCUGCAUGGCUGUCGUCAGCUCGUGUCGUGAGAUGUUGGGUUAAGUCCCGCAACGAGCGCAACCCUUGUCGUUAAUUGCCAUCAUUUAGUUGGGCACUUUAACGAGACUGCCGGUGACAAACCGGAGGAAGGUGGGGAUGACGUCAAGUCCUCAUGGCCCUUAUGGGUAGGGCUUCACACGUCAUACAAUGGUCGGUACAAAGGGUUGCCAAGCCGCGAGGUGGAGCCAAUCCCAGAAAGCCGAUCGUAGUCCGGAUCGCAGGCUGCAACUCGCUUGCGUGAAGUCGG